GGGAGCUUAGUUAAAUGGUAUAACUGCGGUCUCCAAAACCGCCGUCGAGGGUUCGAUUCCUUCAGCUCCCGCCC
RNAcentral lists this transfer RNA (74 nucleotides) under Candidatus Zambryskibacteria bacterium RIFCSPHIGHO2_01_FULL_43_27. Its description in RNAcentral is "tRNA-Trp". It matches the Rfam family "tRNA". Rfam says of the family: Transfer RNA (tRNA) molecules are approximately 80 nucleotides in length. Their secondary structure includes four short double-helical elements and three loops (D, anti-codon, and T loops). Lineage: Bacteria; Candidatus Zambryskiibacteriota. The record is from RNAcentral. RNAcentral also lists the same sequence under 2 other names.